AACGUCCUCAACCAAGAUAUUAUCUCGCUCACAGGCAUGAGAUCGUUUUGCCGCAAUUUAAAUAUCUGGCGUACCAACAGUGCUUGCCAGGCUGCGUAGUGGUAAAAAAGAACACGUCCAAUAAGAAAAUUACCUUUACAAGUAAUAGGGAGAAGAUUGUCAACCUUACAAAUGACAUUUCAUGCGAGGCUUAUGAUGGAUAAAAAAUACAUGAAAUCUAUAAAGAUACAUGAAUACACAAGAAUCCUCAGAAGAUCCAGUUGAAACGGGCUUAAUCAAGGCGACAAAAGCAAGGAAUUGAUUUUUAUGUACUGGAG
Non-coding RNA from Paramuricea clavata, 317 nucleotides. Lineage: Eukaryota; Metazoa; Cnidaria; Anthozoa; Malacalcyonacea; Plexauridae. The record is from the annotation of a GenBank genome assembly.